This 392-nucleotide ribosomal RNA is filed under the name uncultured bacterium. Its description in RNAcentral is "bacterial SSU rRNA". It matches the Rfam family "Bacterial small subunit ribosomal RNA", at positions 29 to 412 of the family's 1533-position model. The record is from RNAcentral.
AAUGAACGCUGGCGGCGCGCCUAAUACAUGCAAGUCGAGCGAGAAGACGUAGCAAUACGUUUGUAAAGCGGCGAACGGGUGAGGAAUACAUGGGUAACCUACCCUAGAGUGGGGAAUAACUAGCCGAAAGGUUAGCUAAUACCGCGUACGCUCCUUGGACUUCGGUUCAGGGAGGAAAGCGAUGCCGAGGGUAUCGCGCUCUUGGAUGGGCUCAUGUCCUAUCAGCUUGUUGGGAGGUAACGGCUCACCAAGGCUUCGACGGGUAGCUGGUCUAAGAGGACGAUCAGCCACACUGGCACUGCGACACGGGCCAGACUCCUACGGGAGGCAGCAGUAAGGAAUAUUGCGCAAUGGGCGAAAGCCUGACGCAGCGACGCCGCGUGGGGGAGUAG